UGAGGAAUAUUGGACAAUGGGCGCAAGCCUGAUCCAGCAAUGCCGCGUGCAGGAUGAAGGCCUUCGGGUUGUAAACUGCUUUUGUACGGAGCGAAAAGGUCUGCCCUAAUACGGUGGGCUCAUGACGGUACCGUAAGAAUAAGCACCGGCUAACUACGUGCCAGCAGCCGCGGUAAUACGUAGGGUGCGAGCGUUAAUCGGAAUUACUGGGCGUAAAGCGUGCGCAGGCGGUUAUAUAAGACAGAUGUGAAAUCCCCGGGCUCAACCUGGGACCUGCAUUUGUGACUGUAUAGCUAGAGUACGGUAGAGGGGGAUGGAAUUCCGCGUGUAGCAGUGAAAUGAGUAGAUAUGCGGAGGAACACCGAUGGCGAAGGCAAUCCCCUGGACCUGUACUGACGCUCAUGCACGAAAGCGUGGGGAGCAAACA
This 427-nucleotide ribosomal RNA is filed under the name uncultured bacterium. RNAcentral describes it as "bacterial SSU rRNA". It matches the Rfam family "Bacterial small subunit ribosomal RNA", at positions 355 to 774 of the family's 1533-position model. The record is from RNAcentral.